This 253-nucleotide ribosomal RNA is filed under the name uncultured bacterium. RNAcentral's name for it is "partial 16S ribosomal RNA". It matches the Rfam family "Bacterial small subunit ribosomal RNA", at positions 524 to 776 of the family's 1533-position model. The record is from RNAcentral.
UACGAAGGGGGCUAGCGUUGCUCGGAAUCACUGGGCGUAAAGGGUGCGUAGGCGGGUCUUUAAGUCAGGGGUGAAAUCCUGGAGCUCAACUCCAGAACUGCCUUUGAUACUGAGGAUCUUGAGUUCGGGAGAGGUGAGUGGAACUGCGAGUGUAGCGGUGAAAUGCGUAGAUAUCUGGAGGAACACCGGUGGCGAAGGCGGCAUCCUGGACCGACACUGACGCUGAGGCGCGAAAGCUAGGGUAGCAAACGGG